RNAcentral lists this non-coding RNA (187 nucleotides) under Limisphaerales bacterium. Its description in RNAcentral is "Verrucomicrobia subdivision 3 bacterium (hot springs metagenome) 6S RNA". It matches the Rfam family "6S / SsrS RNA". Rfam says of the family: E. coli 6S RNA was the first non coding RNA to be sequenced, but its function was unknown until recently. The record is from RNAcentral. Lineage: Bacteria; Pseudomonadati; Verrucomicrobiota; Verrucomicrobiia; Limisphaerales.
UUUGCCCUGCCAUGCGCGUGAUUAAGCAACUAAGUCCUAGAACCGUACUUCGUAUGAGGAGGGCUUAAAGCUCGCGGGGUGGCCGGCAGGCCUCCCAUNGUAGGAGGAAGCCGAAAGCCUCGGAGCCAGCCUAUACUUGUUGUUGGUGUUCGUAGGAACAGUUGCACACGGCAUUGGCGGGGCUUUU